CAGCCAGAAUCUACAGGGGCGUGGUUUGCGCACGCGGGAACUGGGAUCUCAACCCCAGGGCUAGGUGCCUCCUCCCGCUGCUUUCCGCCAGCUGCGGGGUGUGAGAUUAAUCCCCGCCGAUUAGCGCCAGGUGUACUAAGCGCUGGAUGGUUCCCUGACCAGAUGAAACAUCAGCCGAUGUUCUAAUGCCCGUCCCCUGGGCGCUGUCGCCGAGAGGGAAAACCUGUUUUCUGACCCCGGCUCUAGUCGGCCUCUGGAGGUCUGCAGCUGUGUUAUUUUACCUCUAAAACGGACGACACCUGCCCCAUGCACCCCAGCGGCUCCUCCACACGGAGAGAUGGUGUCAGUCAAAGGCCGUCUAGAUGACGAGUUUAUGAAAUUGUUCCUGGCCCGUGCCGGACACGACCUUGCAGAGAGCCCAGAAGAUGAAACCCCAGCCCUGCCAGGAGCUCACCUGCUAAUUAGGAGGACAACGAAUCACCUCACCUCCCUAGACUUUGCUUCUCCUUUAUUCAGUGAGGGAUUGGACUAGCUGGUCCUUAAGGACUUUUCAGAAAGUCUGGUUCUGGGAGAUGACCAAUGGGAUCAUCUUAUGCUAUGAGCUUUCCUGGAAUGACAGGUAAUGGAGAGUGAGGAGAUUUUACCUGAUAUGGUCCUGUUUGCACCAUCAGCCAGCAACCUUUCUGGGAAACAUGCUAAUUAUGUACCAACAUAAAAGCUUGAAUAUAAGGACUUUGGGAAGAUUCAAGAACAAUGUACGGAACACGGGCUGUGGGAAGAGCCCUGAAUUGGAAUUCUACUGAUUCUCCCAGUCAUUCUCUUUGUGACCUCGGACAAAUGGCUUAGCCUCUGAAAUGGGUAGGGUUGGAUGUCAGGAUGGGUAAAUGAGAGUGAGCUGGCAAUCUCUGGUGUCUGGAUGAAUUGUUCAGGGCCUCUCUAUUCUACACAAUCUUGGGAUCUCUUUUAUCUUAGAAAUUUAUGCCUAGCUUGCACUUUACUCAAUAAUUUGUCUACUACAAUUUUUAAAAAUGUUUCAAUUUUAAAAGAAUAUGAUUUUAGAAAUAUGCACCAAAGUAGUUAUAGAUGAAACAACAAGAAGUCUGGGAUCUGAUUCACAAUAAUCCUGGCAGGGAGACAGUGUAAGUAAGGAGACAGAAAAACACGGGUGGCGUGAGUUGCUGUGGCUGGGGAAUGGGCACAUGGGAGUUUGUGAUACCAUUCUCUAUACUUCUGUAGAGCACUGAAAACACAACUGAAAAUCUUUGCAGCCAUAAAAAAAACAACAAGAUCAUGUAUUUUUCAGGGACAUGGAUGGAACUAGUGUCGAUUAUAUUUAGCAAACUAACACAGGAACAGAAAACCAAAUACUGCUUGAUCUCACUUAUAAGUGGGAGCUAAAUGAUGAGAACACAUGGACACAUAGAGGGGAACAACACACACUGGGGCCUAUCAAGUGGUGGAGGGUGGAAGGAGAAAGAGGACCAGGAAGAAUAACUAUUGAGUAAUAGGCUUAGUACCUGGGUGAUGAAAUAAUCUGUACAACCAACCCCCAUGACACAUGUUUACCUAGAUAACAAGCUUGCACAUGUACCAAUGAACUUAAAAUAAAAGUGAAUAAAUAAAUGAAAAAAAAGGAAAAUCUUAAACCACCUAGAGAAAAAAGAUCACCUACAGAGGAACAAAAAUUAGAAUGACCCCAGGCUUCUUCACACCGACAAAGAAAGCCAGAAAACUAUACUAUAUAAUAUCUUCAAAGUGCCAAGGGAAAACAAUUGUCACUCUAGAAUUGAGUCACCAGUACAGUGGUCUUUCAAGAAUGACGGUAAAUAACAUUUCAAACAAAAACUAAGGGAGCUCACUUAAGAGCACUAAAGAAACUUUUAAAAACUGACUCUGCAAUGAAGAGAAGUGGAUGGGCCCCAAAGGAAGGUCAGACAUGCAAAAAGAAAUGUAAGAAUGUAUGUAAGUCUAAACAGUUUGUAUAAAAUGAUAGCAGUCAUAGCCUCUGAUAAUGGUUUGGCUGUGUCCCCACCCAAAAUCUCAUCUUGAAUUGUAAUCCCCCUAAUGCCAGGUGUCAAGGGAGAGAUCAGGUGGAGGUAAUUGGAUCAUGGGGGCGGUUUCCUCCAUGCCAUCCUCAUGAUAGUGAGUUCUCACGAGGUCUCAUGGUUUUAUAAGGGAGAUUUCCCUGCUCUUGCUAGCAAUUCUUCCACCUGCUGCCUUGCAAAGAGGGCGCCUUGCUUCCUCUUCACCUUCCAUCGUGAUUGUAAGUUUCCUGCCUCCCCAGCCAUGCAGAACUGUGAGUCAAUUAAACCUCUUUCCUGAAUAAAUUACCCAGUCUCUUCAUAGCCGUGUGAGAACGAACUAAUACAGCCUCUAAUUUCUGGGCUAGAUAGAACUAAAAUAAUGGCCAUCAAAAGCCUGUAAUUGGGAAGGACAGUGAUUGGAAUGAAUGUCAAGACAGGACAGAAGGUUAUAAUGUGGUUUUACUUCACACUCUGUUAAGUUUAGAAUGCAUGAUGAAAGUCUACUUUUUGGUACCUAGCCCGGAGAACCCUUCACAAUUGUGUAUAAGGAGGCAUAUUUAAAAACGUUCUGGGGACAGUGGGAGGAACAGCAUCAGGAAAAAUAACUAAUGCAUGCUGGGCUUAAUACCUAGAUGAUGGGUUGAUAGGUGCAGCAAACCACCAUAGCACACGUUUACCUAUUUAACAAACCUACACAUCCUGCACAUGUACCCCAGAAUUUAAUAUAACAAUAAAAAAAAGUUCAUGCUAGUAUUGCUUGAAUAAUAACAUCGUGGGAACAACUUCAACGUUCAUCUACAUGGGAAAUGAUUUCUAAACUCUAGAAUAUCAAUACCACGGAACACUACUGGGAAUGCAGUAGAUCUGUUGGAACCAACAUUUCAGUGGGAAACAAACAAGUGUCUGAAACUUUUCAUACACAUGUUUAUAAAUAUCCCUUAUGAACAUCAAUGCAAAAAUCCUCAACAAAAUACUAGCUAACCAAAUUCAACAGCGUAUCAAAAAGAUAAUACAC
Long non-coding RNA from Gorilla gorilla gorilla (western lowland gorilla), 3039 nucleotides. RefSeq lists it as uncharacterized. The transcript has 3 exons. The record is from RefSeq and is a predicted model, not a curated record. Lineage: Eukaryota; Metazoa; Chordata; Mammalia; Primates; Hominidae.